GACGAACGCUGGCGGCGUGCUUAACACAUGCAAGUCGAACGGAAAGGCCCUGCUUUUGUGGGGUGCUCGAGUGGCGAACGGGUGAGUAACACGUGAGUAACCUGCCCUUGACUUUGGGAUAACUUCAGGAAACUGGGGCUAAUACAGGAUAGGAGCUCUUGCUGCAUGGUGGGGGUUGGAAAGUUUCGGCGGUUGGGGAUGGACUCGCGGCUUAUCAGCUUGUUGGUGGGGUAGUGGCUUACCAAGGCUUUGACGGGUAGCCGGCCUGAGAGGGUGACCGGCCACAAUGGGACUGAGAUACGGCCCAGACUCCUACGGGAGGCAGCAGUGGGGAAUAUUGCACAAUGGGCGGAAGCCUGAUGCAGCAACGCCGCGUGCGGGAUGACGGCCUUCGGGUUGUAAACCGCUUUCGCCUGUGACGAAGCGUGAGUGACGGUAAUGGGUAAAGAAGCACCGGCUAACUACGUG
Molecule: ribosomal RNA, 468 nt
Filed under: uncultured bacterium
Lineage: Bacteria
Description: partial 16S ribosomal RNA
Rfam family: Bacterial small subunit ribosomal RNA
Source: RNAcentral